UCCCUGGUGGAAAAUUGGCUAGCAUGUGGCACUCUUAUCUCUGUGGUCCGGGUUCAAUUCCUGGUCAGGGAA
Non-coding RNA from Pangasius djambal, 72 nucleotides. Lineage: Eukaryota; Metazoa; Chordata; Actinopteri; Siluriformes; Pangasiidae. The record is from the annotation of a GenBank genome assembly.